GACGAACGCUGGCGGCGUGCUUAACACAUGCAAGUCGAACGGUGACGGAGAGCUUGCUCUCCUGAUCGGUGGCGAACGGGUGAGUAACACGUGGGCAACCUGCCCCAGACUUCGGGAUAACGCUUCGAAAGAGGUGCUAAUACCGAAUACGAACGCCGUGGGCAUCCACGGUGUUGGAAAGUUUUCGGUCUGGGAUGGGCCCGCGGCCUAUCAGCUUGUUGGUGAGGUAAUGGCUCACCAAGGCGACGACGGGUAGCCGGCCUGAGAGGAUGACCAGCCACAUUGGGACUGAGACACGGCCCAAACUCCUACGGGAGGCAGCAGUGGGGAAUCUUGCGCAAUGGGCGAAAGCCUGACGCAGCCAUGCCGCGUGGAUGAUGAAGGUCUUAGGAUUGUAAAAUCCUUUCACCGGUGAAGAUAAUGACUGUAGCCGGAGAAGAAGCCCCGGCUAACUUCGUGCCAGCAGCCGCGGUAAU
This 476-nucleotide ribosomal RNA is filed under the name uncultured bacterium. RNAcentral describes it as "bacterial SSU rRNA". It matches the Rfam family "Bacterial small subunit ribosomal RNA", at positions 28 to 524 of the family's 1533-position model. The record is from RNAcentral.